RNAcentral lists this ribosomal RNA (497 nucleotides) under uncultured bacterium. RNAcentral describes it as "partial 16S ribosomal RNA". It matches the Rfam family "Bacterial small subunit ribosomal RNA", at positions 28 to 507 of the family's 1533-position model. The record is from RNAcentral.
GAUGAACGCUGGCGGCGUGCCUAAUACAUGCAAGUCGAGCGAACAGACGAGGAGCUUGCUCCUCUGACGUUAGCGGCGGACGGGUGAGUAACACGUGGAUAACCUACCUAUAAGACUGGGAUAACUUCGGGAAACCGGAGCUAAUACCGGAUAAUAUAUUGAACCGCAUGGUUCAAUAGUGAAAGACGGUUUUGCUGUCACUUAUAGAUGGAUCCGCGCCGCAUUAGCUAGUUGGUAAGGUAACGGCUUACCAAGGCAACGAUGCGUAGCCGACCUGAGAGGGUGAUCGGCCACACUGGAACUGAGACACGGUCCAGACUCCUACGGGAGGCAGCAGUAGGGAAUCUUCCGCAAUGGGCGAAAGCCUGACGGGGCAACGCCGCGUGAGUGAUGAAGGUCUUCGGAUCGUAAAACUCUGUUAUUAGGGAAGAACAAAUGUGUAAGUAACUAUGCACGUCUUGACGGUACCUAACCAGAAAGCCACGGCUAACUACGUG